RNAcentral lists this ribosomal RNA (440 nucleotides) under uncultured Thermotogales bacterium. RNAcentral describes it as "bacterial SSU rRNA". It matches the Rfam family "Bacterial small subunit ribosomal RNA", at positions 1016 to 1435 of the family's 1533-position model. Lineage: Bacteria; Thermotogati; Thermotogota; Thermotogae; Thermotogales. The record is from RNAcentral.
CCGGUGAGGUAGGCAGGCGGGACAGGAGCUGCACGGCUGUCGUCAGCUCGUGUCNUGAGAUGUUGGGCUAAGUCCCGCAACGAGCGCAACCCCUGCCCAUAGUUGCCAGCGGGUCGCCCACGUAGGUGGGCGAUGCUGGGGACUCUAUGGGGACUGCCGGCGAGGAGCCGGAGGAAGGAGGGGACGACGUCAAGUCCGUGUGGCCCUUAUGUCCGGGGCUACACACGCGCUACAAUGGGCGGUACAGAGGGAAGCGACCCCGCGAGGGGGAGCAAAUCCCUAAAACCGCCCCCAGUUCGGAUUGCAGGCUGAAACCCGCCUGCAUGAAGGAGGAGUCGCUAGUAAUCACCUAUCAGCUAUGGGGUGGUGAAUACGUUCCCGGGCUCUGUACUCACCGCCCGUCACGCCAUGGGAGCCGGGGGUGCCUGAAGCCCCACCGA